This is an RNA transcript of Lagenorhynchus albirostris (white-beaked dolphin), 2225 nucleotides long. It is a transcript of the gene named deoxyguanosine kinase, with no coding region annotated. The transcript has 7 exons. The record is from RefSeq and is a predicted model, not a curated record. Lineage: Eukaryota; Metazoa; Chordata; Mammalia; Artiodactyla; Delphinidae.
UCUCGGCGGAAGUGAUCGCUUCGUGAAUCAUCGGUGGGAUGAUCGCCGGCCGGCUCUAUCUAAGGCUGCUGCGAGCAUCCUCCAAGUCCAUGGCUAAGCGCCCACUCGAGGGUGUGCCCCCCUCCAGGGGUCUACACGCGGGGCGCGGGCCCAGAAGGCUCUCCAUCGAAGGCAACAUUGCUGUGGGAAAAUCCACCUUUGUGAAGUUACUCACGAAAACUCACCCAGAGUGGCACGUAGCUACAGAACCUGUAGCAACAUGGCAGAAUGUCCAGGCUGCUGGCACCCAAAACGCCUGCACUGCCCCCAGUCUUGGAAACUUGCUGGAUAUGAUGUACCAGGAGCCAGCACGAUGGUGCUACACAUUCCAGACAUUUUCUUUUAUGAGCCGCCUGAAAGUACAGUUGGAGCCCUUCCCUGAGAAACUCUUAGAGGCCAAGCAGGCAGUACAGAUCUUUGAGAGGUCUGUAUACAGCGACAGGUAUAUCUUUGCAAAGACUCUUUUUGAAAAUGGUUCCCUCAGUGACAUCGAAUGGCAUAUCUAUCAGGACUGGCAUUAUUUUCUCCUGCAGGAGUUUGCCAGCCGGCUCAGAUUACAUGGCUUCAUCUACCUCCAGGCUGCUCCCCAGGUUUGUCUGAAGAGGCUACACCUGAGGGCCAGGGAAGAGGAGAAAGGAAUUGAGUUGGCGUAUCUUGAGCAGCUGCAUGCUCAGCAUGAAGCCUGGCUUGUCCGCAAAACAACCCCGCUUGGUGUGGUGUCCAUUUAAAAUGUUUGAGGCUCCGACCUUCAGUAUCAGUCUCAAGACUAAAGAGGAAUUUCAGCCUCAUCUUCCCAGCCAACUUUAUGGAAUUCUUUUUCUAAACUACUGUUUACAUGAAAUUUCCUUAAGAAGGUAUGUGACCUUAGAUCUGUUCUGAAUUAUUAAGACUGGUGAGUAUGUGAAACCUGCCAUCUUUUUUCUGUUCCCUAAAUGUUCAUGCUUCUUAUAGGCUCUGCUCUGAGGCUCUGCUGAACAUUCCAGUGCUGGUAUUGGAUGUCAAUGAUGAUUUUUCUGAAGAAGUAACCAAACAAGAAGCGCUCAUGAAGAGGGUAAACACCUUUGUAAAGAAUCUAUAACCAGUACCAGGAUGUUCUAGCUGUGAUCUGGGCUGUCUGACUUUUUGAAGCCAGAAGAAUACCAAGUCACCCACCUUCCCAUCCCCACUCCAAUCUCCUUUUACACCUAGAGUGCUCUGACACUCAGGGGUUAGGUUUCUAUUACCCUUGGACCCUGCCUUUGUCUUCCUUUAUAUCUCAAGGACUUCUUAAAUAAAGUCUACAUUUUUGUGGAUUUUGCUAUCCAGUUGUUCAUUUAUUUCAGCGUGUGUCUACUGGUGCCUGCUCUGAGCUCCCCUCUAGACUGGCCAUUUUCACGUGAGAAAAGUCUUUGCUUUUCUUCUUCUUGAAUCCUUCACCAGCCAGACUUCCCUGUGUGUUCACUGGCUCCUUCUGACAUGCCAGGGCGGGAACUGCUUCUAGGACCCCUAACCAAGCUCUGCCUUAGUCAUGAAGAAGGGAAGUAAAGUGACUCAGGAGUGGGUGGAUGCUCAAGUGUGAGUCCCCAGAGCCAGGAAAUGGAGCCCAAACUCCAGGAAGCUCCUCUGUCUCUUCCCAUCCAGCACUCUUGGUUUGGGGGAUGGGGUGGGGAUUUAGACCUUUGUCUUAGAGCUGAAGAACCUGGAUGAAAGAAAGGGAGGGAAGGAGGGAGAGAACAAAUCAUGAGCCUAAAAGUUCAGCAUCUGAUAUUUAGGGUUCGGUCAUCCUGGCACUCUGGCCUGCUCCAAACACCUGACCCAGUGAGUUUCAGUUGACCUUAAUGGAGUGAAUCUGUCUAUGCUGGAAAGAAAGAAAAUAAUUUUUUGUGCUGCACUUCAAGCUUCAAGGACAGUUUAUUGUUAAGAGAGAAAAAUACAUGGCUCUAUAGAAUGGAAGUGCUUCAUUGAAAGAAGACUGCAGAUCCACGAUUCACCGGGAUCGGAAUUCCUGCUCUGAGCCCUUGACAGUUGCACAGGCCCGCAGGAAAAUGAAUGAGCUUGGGACCCAGAGUGUCCCAGGAGACAGAAACCUGGGUUUCCCUUCAUGCUUGGGAAAACGAGUGUGAGACUGGUUUCUAACAACUGUGGGAUGUUUUGAAAUCGCAUGGCAUUUCUUUAUCCUACUUAAAAAAAAAUUUUUUUUUUUAAUU